This 497-nucleotide ribosomal RNA is filed under the name uncultured bacterium. Its description in RNAcentral is "partial 16S ribosomal RNA". It matches the Rfam family "Bacterial small subunit ribosomal RNA", at positions 28 to 507 of the family's 1533-position model. The record is from RNAcentral.
GACGAACGCUGGCGGCGUGCCUAAUACAUGCAAGUUGAGCGCUGAAGGCUGGUACUUGUACCAACCGGGUGAGCAGCGAACGGGUGAGUAACGCGUGGGGAAUCUGCCUUUGAGCGGGGGACAACAUUUGGAAACGAAUGAUAAUACCGCAUAAAAACUUUAAACACAAGGUUGAAGUUUGAAAGAUGCAAUUGCAUCACUCAAAGAUGAUCCCGCGUUGUAUUAGCUAGUUGGUGAGGUAAAGGCGCACCAAGGCGAUGAUACAUAGCAGACGUGAGAGGGCGGUCGGCCGGCCUGGGAGGGUGACACGGCCCAUUCGCCUUCGGGAGGCAGCAGUAGUGAUUCGUCGGCAAUCGGCGGAAGACUGACCGCGCAACGCCGCGUGAGGGAAGAGGGUCUUCGGGUCGUAAAUGACUGUUGGUGGAGAGUAACGCUGGUGCGAGUGGAAAGCUCAGCAAGUGACGGUAACGACUAAGAAAGCGACGGCUAACUACGUG